CAGGUUCACUGCUUCGUUGGAACGAGUAACAUGGUAGCGUAGUUCAACCAGACAAUGAAGUAACACUGGCUUGGAAUUCCCAGGCCAUCUUGCAAAGAUCCACUUUAACAACCUACCAAAACAUGGCUAUGCUUAACUCUAUUGUGAAAGGAACCUCCAAUGUUGCAACUUCAGCUCCACUCCAGAAAGGUCCAAGCCAAAAUAAUUUACUCCAAGCUAAAAAUCUCGCCUGUUGUAGGUUUCAAAUUAUUUAAGCACGGAUUCCCCCAAAAAACAAACAUAGUAUCCUAAUCC
RNAcentral lists this long non-coding RNA (294 nucleotides) under Elaeis guineensis (African oil palm). Its description in RNAcentral is "long non-coding RNA (EGUI_LNC023211)". Lineage: Eukaryota; Viridiplantae; Streptophyta; Magnoliopsida; Arecales; Arecaceae. The record is from RNAcentral.